This 201-nucleotide ribosomal RNA is filed under the name Neoponera verenae. RNAcentral describes it as "partial large subunit ribosomal RNA". Lineage: Eukaryota; Metazoa; Arthropoda; Insecta; Hymenoptera; Formicidae. The record is from RNAcentral.
GAAUUUAAUAUAAUUUUUUAUUAAUAUAAUGAAUUAAUUAUAUUUGAUUGGGGGGAUUAUUAAAUUUAAAAAACUUUAAUGUAAAAAAACUUAAAUUAAAGAAAAAAAAAUAAUUGAAUAAUUUAAAUUAUUUAAGAAUUAAUUACCUUAGGGAUAACAGCAUAAUAAUUUUUUUUAGAUCUUAUAUAAAAAAUUGUUUAU